Molecule: ribosomal RNA, 497 nt
Filed under: uncultured bacterium
Lineage: Bacteria
Description: partial 16S ribosomal RNA
Rfam family: Bacterial small subunit ribosomal RNA
Source: RNAcentral
GACGAACGCUGGCGGCGUGCCUAAUACAUGCAAGUUGAGCGCUGAAGGUUGGUACUUGUACCAACUGGAUGAGCAGCGAACGGGUGAGUAACGCGUGGGGAAUCUGCCUUUGAGCGGGGGACAACAUUUGGAAACGAAUGCUAAUACCGCAUAAAAACUUUAAACACAAGUUUUAAGUUUGAAAGAUGCAAUUGCAUCACUCAAAGAUGAUCCCGCGUUGUAUUAGCUAGUUGGUGAGGUAAAGGCUCACCAAGGCGAUGAUACAUAGCCGACCUGAGAGGGGGAUCGGCCACAUUGGGACUGAGACACGGCCCAAACUCCUACGGGAGGCAGCAGGAGGGAAUCUUCGGCAAUGGACGAAAGCCUGACCGAGCAACGCCGCGUGAGUGAAGAAGGUUUUCGGAUCGUAAAACUCUGUUGGUAGAGAAGAACGUUGGUGAGAGUGGAAAGCUCAUCAAGUGACGGUAACUACCCAGAAAGGGACGGCUAACUACGUG